UACAGAGGGUGCAAGCGUUAUUCGGAUUUACUGGGCGUAAAGGGUGUGUAGGUUGUUUUCUAAGUUUGAUGUGAAAUCCCUCGACUCAAUCGGGGAAGUGCAUUGAAUACUGGAGGACUAGAGUUUAGGAGAGGAGAGCGGAAUUCCUGGUGUAGAGGUGAAAUUCGUAGAUAUCAGGAGGAACAACGAAGGCGAAGGCAGCUCUCUGGACUAAUACUGACACUGAGGCACGAAAGCGUGGGGAGCAAACAGG
This 253-nucleotide ribosomal RNA is filed under the name uncultured bacterium. RNAcentral's name for it is "partial 16S ribosomal RNA". It matches the Rfam family "Bacterial small subunit ribosomal RNA", at positions 524 to 776 of the family's 1533-position model. The record is from RNAcentral.